RNAcentral lists this ribosomal RNA (446 nucleotides) under uncultured beta proteobacterium. RNAcentral describes it as "bacterial SSU rRNA". It matches the Rfam family "Bacterial small subunit ribosomal RNA", at positions 38 to 482 of the family's 1533-position model. The record is from RNAcentral. Lineage: Bacteria; Pseudomonadati; Pseudomonadota; Betaproteobacteria.
GGCGGCAUGCCUUACACAUGCAAGUCGAACGCGAAAGGGGGCAACCCUGAGUAGAGUGGCGAACGGGUGAGCAAUACAUCGGAACAUUUCCUGUAGCGGGGGACAACCCCGAGAAAUCGGGGCUAAUACCGCAUACGAUCUACGGAUGAAAGUGGGGGACCGCAAGGCCCCACACUAUAGGAGUGGCCGAUGUCGGAUUAGCUAGUUGGUGAGGUAAUGGCCCACCAAGGCGACGAUCCGUAGCUGGUUUGAGAGAACGACCAGCCACACUGGGACUGAGACACGGCCCAGACUCCUACGGGAGGCAGCAGUGGGGAAUUUUGGACAAUGGGCGCAAGCCUGAUCCAGCCAUGCCGCGUGAGUGAAGAAGGCCUUCGGGUUGUAAAGCUCUUUCAGCGGGGACGAAAUAGCGCGGGGUAACAUCCCGCGUCGAUGACGGUACCCGA